AAUGAACGUUGGCGGCGUGGAUUAGGCAUGCAAGUCGUGCGAGAAGCUUCCUUCGGGAAGUGGACAGCGGCGAACGGGAGAGUAACGCGUGGAGUACCUACCCUGGGGCCCGGGAUAGCCGUGGGAAACUGCGGGUAAUACCGGAUAACAUCUCCGGAUCAAAGGUGUGAUUCCGCCCUGGGACGGCUCCACGUCCUAUUAGCUUGUUGGUGGGGUAACGGCCUACCAAGGCUGCGAUGGGUACCGGGUGUGAGAGCAUGGCCCGGCUCACUGGGACUGAGACACUGCCCAGACACCUACGGGUGGCUGCAGUCGAGAAUCUUCGGCAAUGGGCGCAAGCCUGACCGAGCGACGCCGCGUGCGGGAUGAAGGCCUUCGGGUUGUAAACCGCUGUCGGAGGGGAGGAAAUCCUAGGGGGUUCUCCCUCUAGGUUGACCUAGCCUCAAAGGAAGGACGGGCUAAGUUCGUG
RNAcentral lists this ribosomal RNA (469 nucleotides) under uncultured bacterium. Its description in RNAcentral is "bacterial SSU rRNA". It matches the Rfam family "Bacterial small subunit ribosomal RNA", at positions 28 to 507 of the family's 1533-position model. The record is from RNAcentral.